This 484-nucleotide ribosomal RNA is filed under the name uncultured bacterium. Its description in RNAcentral is "partial 16S ribosomal RNA". It matches the Rfam family "Bacterial small subunit ribosomal RNA", at positions 30 to 507 of the family's 1533-position model. The record is from RNAcentral.
AUUGAACGCUAGCGGGAUGCUUUACACAUGCAAGUCGAACGGCAGCGCGGACUUCGGUCGGGCUGCGAGUGGCGAACGGGUGAGUAAUGUAUCUGAACGUGCCCAGUAGCGGGGUAUAACUACUCGAAAGCGUAGCUAAUACCGCAUACGCCCUACGGGGGAAACAAGGGGAUCGUAGGACCUUGCACGAUGGGAGCGGCCGAUAUCGGAUUAGCUAGUUGGUUAGGUAACGGCUCACCAAGGCGACGAUCCGUAGCUGGUUUGAGAGGACGACCAGCCACACUGGGACUGAGACACGGCCCAGACUCCUACGGGAGGCAGCAGUGGGGAAUUUUGGGCAAUGGGGGCAACCCUGAUCCAGCCAUCCCGCGUGUGCGAUGAAGGCCUUCGGGUUGUAAAGCACUUUUGGCAGGAAAGAAACGUCGCGGGCUAAUACCCCGUGGAACUGACGGUACCUGCAGAAUAAGCACCGGCUAACUACGUG